AGUAGGAUGACUGAGAUAUUAGGUAUUAAAUUGUAAAUUUAAAUAGAGGUAUUAUACCUUCUUACUA
Molecule: transfer RNA, 67 nt
Filed under: Calvisia medogensis
Lineage: Eukaryota; Metazoa; Arthropoda; Insecta; Phasmatodea; Lonchodidae
Description: tRNA-Tyr
Source: RNAcentral